GAUGAACGCUAGCGGCAGGCUUAAUACAUGCAAGUCGAGGGGCAGCAUGGUUGUAGCAAUACAACUGAUGGCGACCGGCAAACGGGUGCGGAACACGUACGCAAUCUACCCAGAACUGAUGAAUAGCCCUCCGAAAGGAGGAUUAAUACAUCGUAACAUAAUUGAAUGGCAUCAUUUAAUUAUUAUAGCUCCGGCGGUUUUGGAUGAGCGUGCGCCUGAUUAGGUAGUUGGCGGGGUAACGGCCCACCAAGCCUGCGAUCAGUAACUGGUGUGAGAGCACGACCAGUCACACGGGCACUGAGACAC
RNAcentral lists this ribosomal RNA (306 nucleotides) under uncultured bacterium. Its description in RNAcentral is "bacterial SSU rRNA". It matches the Rfam family "Bacterial small subunit ribosomal RNA", at positions 28 to 327 of the family's 1533-position model. The record is from RNAcentral.